GUGCCUAACACAUGGCAAGGUCAACUUGAGGGAAGGAGCAAUCUGACCUGAUGGUGGCGGCAAGGUGCGUAAGCGUAAGUAACUUGCCCAAGGUAAGGAAUAACGUCGAGAAAUCGGCGCUAAUACCUCAUAAUGCAGCGGAUCCGCAUGGAUAUGUUGUUAAAGGUUUACCGCCUUGGGAUAGGCUUGCGUCUGAUUAGCUAGUUGGUGUGGUAAUGGCACACCAAGGCUACGAUCAGUAACUGGUCUGAGAGGAUGAUCAGUCACACUGGAACUGAGACACGGUCCAGACUCCUACGGGAGGCAGCAGUGAGGAAUAUUGGGCAAUGCACGAAAGUGUGACCCAGCAACGCCGCGUGGAGGAUGAAGGUAUUCUAUAUCGUAAACUCCUGUGAGAGCAGACGAAAGACAGAUUAUUAAUUUGGAUGACUGUAUGCUCAGAGGAAGCCCCGGCUAACUACGUG
RNAcentral lists this ribosomal RNA (464 nucleotides) under uncultured bacterium. RNAcentral's name for it is "bacterial SSU rRNA". It matches the Rfam family "Bacterial small subunit ribosomal RNA", at positions 44 to 507 of the family's 1533-position model. The record is from RNAcentral.